This 123-nucleotide small RNA is filed under the name Marmota monax (woodchuck). Lineage: Eukaryota; Metazoa; Chordata; Mammalia; Rodentia; Sciuridae. The record is from RNAcentral.
GGGUGUGGUGGCGCACACCUGUAACCCCAGUGGCUCAGGAGAACGAGGCAGGAGGAUCACGAGUUCACAGCCAGCCUCAGCAAUGGUGAGGCUGCUAAGCAACUCAGUGAGACCCUGUCUCUA